GUUGUGUUAGGAAGGAGGACGGGAAUGGUAAAUGCUGACGCUACAGGCGGCAGUCUGUGCCUCAGAGAGAAAAUUUAUCCCAACCUUGCUGGGGGCCUUGACGCCCAUCUUCCUCCAGAGCACCCCGACAGUCACCCCGCCCUCUGGUGUCCUCCCACCCCGAGCCCGAUCUUCCCCCUUCACGCCUGCCCCGGGCCAAUAGCCUCCUAACUGCGUCCUCUCUGAUUGCGUGUGUCGUGCUCAUUACGCCCUAUCCGUCGUUUCUUCGCUCCACAAACGUUUACUGAGCGCCUUCAACUUGCCAGGCACUAAUUAGACUAGCGCAGAGAAACGGGGAUAAGUACUGAUGAGGGUCCCAGCCCUCAGCGAUCGGAUUUCAGAGGGGGAGAUAAAGGACUGCCCAGAAGGGUGGUGAGUGGAGUAGUUGAUAUAAACAACGAGGUGCGAUGAAAUACACAGGAGGGCUGCUAAUCACAUAUGGGGUGGGUGCCGAGGGCCCUUAAUUAAGGGAGGCUUCCUGGACGGGUGACACCCAAGCGGAGUCCUGACGACCCGCGUCAGAAGUAGUCAGGCGAGGAGGAGGGUAAAGGAAUCCACGUCCCAAGCAGAGAAGCAGCUUUCCCUACACAGCACAGGACACGGUCCGCGCACAGAAGCCGCAGGAGACGCAGGCACAGGGGCUGGGGAGAAUCCUUGCUGGGCCCUCGCCGUCCAUGCGCCGCCUCCCUCUGCCCGGUGUCUGGUGUCAGCCUCCUGCCUGGCAGAGGAACUCCAGCCCCUGCUCCCCGAAGCUCCUCCAGGCCUUCUGCUUCCCUGACUCGGAAUGGGCCCGCUGUCCAGUGGGUACAAGGCUGGUCUCCCCGCCCACUGGUGACGACGUAAAGAUCCAGCUCAGCCUGGUUUCCCCUGGUGAUGAUAUCUUGCGACUCGUCUUUCUCCAGGAAAACAGGGACCGCUCUCCGCCUACAGAUCUCUUCAACUACCUGUGAAAACUGAUGUGAUGAAAAGGGGAAUUUGAAGGAGCCAUUCCAGAAGACAGGGCGAAAACUGAAGUGCAAUCAGGGCCAAGAAAAACAGAAAUAGCAGGACCUGGAGUUGCAUAGGUUGAAUAGUUGAAUAGGCUGCUCUCCUCAGCUGGCAGGAAACCUGGCAGCCUCCUGGUGCCCAAGGACUGAAAACCUUAGAAGCACCUGGAGUUGGCAGCCUUGGCAUGGUCAGGUUGGCACCUCUGGAGGUGCCCAGGCUUCCCUGGCAGCAUUGUGAGCAGUGGAUGGUGUUGAAGGGCAGCCAGAGGAGGAAUGGAACACAUGCUCCUUGCUAACCACACGGACAAGGCCACGUUCACAGGUACACAAAGGCAACGCAGUUGCUCAGGUGCUUCGGUAUCACAGCCAAGACCCCUUCGGGGGAAGCUAGUCGGAUACUGGGACCCACAUUCCAGACUACUGAGCCGCGGUCGCGCCCUCGGCUCCGUUUCUGCUCCCUCCACCCCACGAGGACGGGGGUGGAAGGCCACCUUCGAUGGGUGCAUCCUCCACGAUGACCUGCUAACAAAGGUGCAUGGAUUUCAGAGUCUGAUUGGCCUACAACAGCAUUUGGCUUGUGGAGACAGUGGUUCCCUGAUGAAAAACUGCCAUGAUGGGAAUAGAAACAAUCAGAGGAAACUUCCGUGAGUUCCCAGGACACAUCCACCCACCUCCUCCACGUGUAACCACCACCUCUACCUUCCCCUCUGGUGCUGUGGAUGAGCCAUCCGUGCUCCUGGCAAAGGCCCACCUGCCACUUGGGCACAGGAACCCAUCCAUCCCUCCUUACCUCUGGUAACUCUCCCUCUCUCUCUCCUGCAUCCUUCAUAUUCUCUGGGUUGUAUUCUCUUCCAGCCCCCACCCCCUGCCCACCUCCAGCAUGUAAAAGUGCUGUUAUUGUUUCCACUUUAAAACAAACCCUAAAAAUAAGUAAAUAAAAUAAACCCUACCCUGACCCCACUUCACUCUAUAGUUACCAUCUCAUUUCCCUUCUUUUAACAGGAAAACUCCUCCAAACACUUGUCUAUAUUUGUCCCUGUCAUUCUCUCUCUCUCCCCCCUCUCUCUAUUUUUUAUUUUAUUUUAUUUUAUUUAUUUAUUUAUUUGAGACGGAGUCUCACUCUGUCACCCAGGCUGGAGUGCAGUGGCAUAAUCUUGGCUCACUGGAACCCCUACCUCUUGUGUUAAAGCAAUUCUCCUGCCUCAACCACCUGAGUAGCUGGGAUUACAGGCGCCCACCACCUCGCUGGGCUAAUUUUUGAAUUUGUAAUUGAGAUGGGGUUUCACCAUGGUAGCCAGGCUGGUCUCAAACUCCUGACCUCAAGCGAUCUGCCCACCUCCGUCUCUCAAAGUGCUGGGAUUAGAGGUGUGAGCCACCACGCCCGGCCUAUUUAUUUUUUUGAGACAGAGUCUCCCUCUGUUGUCCAAGCUAGAGUGCAGUGAUACCAUCUCGGCUCACUGCCACCUCUGCCUCCCAGGUUCAAGUGACUCUCCUGCCUCAGCCUCCCUAGUAGCUGGGAUUACAGCCAUGCACCACCACACCUGGCUAAUUUUUGUAUUUUUAGUAGAGAUGGGGUUUCACCACGUUGGCCAGGGUGGUCUUGAGCUCCUGACCUCAGGUGAUCUGCCCACCUCAGCCUCUCAAAGUGCUGGGAUUACGGGCAUGAGCUGCUGUGCCCAGCCUCAAUUAUUUUAAUCUUUGAAUAACUUCGGACUUGCAGAAAAGUUAAAAGACUUACAUGGAGAACUUCUCUACCCUCUUCCCCAUCCCCGCAAGGUACACAGUUGGUAAAGCGAGAAGUCUGGGGUUCAGUGACACACUUCUUAACUCCCAAGUUCGUGCUCUUUCUUUUCUCUCUCUCUCUCUCUCUGUUGUCUCUCCCUCCCUCCUUCACUCCCUCUCUCUCCCCUUGAUGGCCACAUUUACUUUAUAAUUUUCUCUCUCACUCUUUCUCUGUCUCACUCUCUCUUACACAACACACACACUCAUAAGAAGACACCUAUAUACAUUUUUUUCCUGAACCAUUGGUAAGUAAUUUGCACACAGGAUGUCCCUUCACCCCCCAGUCCACCAAUACUUCGGUGUGUUUCCUAAGAACAAAGGCCUUCUGGAAGUUUCACAUUAAUUCCAUACUGGAUCUACAGUCCGAGUUCAGAUUUCACCAAUUGUCCCAAUAAAGUCCUUUAGGUUUUUCUGGCCCAGGAUCACUUGUCACUUUUGGUUGUCAGGUCUCUUUAAGUCUCCUUCAGCCUUAUGUGUUGUCGACCUUUUUUUUUUGAGACAGAGUCUCACUCUGUUCCCCAGGCUGGAGUGCAGAGUGGUGCUAUCUUAGCUCACUGCAACCUCUGCCUCCCGGGUUCAAGAGAUUCUCCUGCCUCAGCCUCCCAAGUAGCUGGGAUUACAGGCCCCUGCCACCACACCAGAGUAAUUUUUGUAUUUUUAGUAGAGAUAGGGUUUCACCACAUUGGUCAGGCUGGUCUUGAACUCCUGACCUCAAAUGAUCCGCUCGCCUCGGCUUCCCAAAGUGCUGAAAUUACAGGCGUGAGCCACUGCGCCUGGCAGACUUUUUUUUUUUUUUGGAGACGUAGUUUCGCUUUUGUCGCCCAGGCUGAAUGUGGCAGUCGCUCUGGCCAAACCCUUGGAGUCACCCUCCACUCCUUUCUCUCACCCCUCAUCCCAACUGUCCGCAAAGGCCAUCAGCUCUGCUUUCAAAGUACACCCAGAAUCUGGCCACUCCUCAGCCCCCGCACUGCCCCCAUCCUGGCCCAAGCCCUCGCGCUCUCUUUCCUGGGAGUGUGCUAUGGUCUCCUCGCCGGUCUUCCGGUUUCUCGGCUCUGGCCCCCUGUGGCUUGUCUGAGCUCUCGCGUUCACAGGGAAGUAGUGGUCGCGCUCACUGGGCUACCGCCCUCCCUCUGCGCGCCCCCUCCGGGGGCAGGGAGCCCACGAGGCCCAGCCCGAUCCUACCCCCUCCUGGGUCACCUCCUGGACCCCCGCUCCUCCCGCCCAGCCCCCCGCCCCGUGCCGCCCCAGCCACUCGGUCCUCCGGGCCCACCCCAGGGCGUCGGAACUGGUGGUUCCCUCGG
RNAcentral lists this long non-coding RNA (4108 nucleotides) under Homo sapiens (human). RNAcentral describes it as "non-protein coding LINC00910:11". The record is from RNAcentral. Lineage: Eukaryota; Metazoa; Chordata; Mammalia; Primates; Hominidae.